GGGGAUUUGGCUCAGUGGUAGAGAGCUUGCCUAGCAAGCGCAAGGCCCUGGGUUCGAUCCCCAGCUCCG
Molecule: transfer RNA, 69 nt
Filed under: Rattus norvegicus (Norway rat)
Lineage: Eukaryota; Metazoa; Chordata; Mammalia; Rodentia; Muridae
Rfam family: tRNA
About the family: Transfer RNA (tRNA) molecules are approximately 80 nucleotides in length. Their secondary structure includes four short double-helical elements and three loops (D, anti-codon, and T loops). Further hydrogen bonds mediate the characteristic L-shaped molecular structure. tRNAs have two regions of fundamental functional importance: the anti-codon, which is responsible for specific mRNA codon recognition, and the 3' end, to which the tRNAs corresponding amino acid is attached (by aminoacyl-tRNA synthetases). tRNAs cope with the degeneracy of the genetic code in two manners: having more than one tRNA (with a specific anti-codon) for a particular amino acid; and 'wobble' base-pairing, i.e. permitting non-standard base-pairing at the 3rd anti-codon position.
Source: Rfam by way of RNAcentral